AAGUGUCAGAUGUGUUCUGCGAGGUCCUGCAAACAUACUGGCAAAUUGAGAUGCUCAAGUUAGAUGCUCAUCUGAUGUUGUUGUGUUGCUGAGUCAUCAAGGAUCCAGCUUAUUAUUGAAACAUUGGACAGUACAGAAAGCACACAAGUGGGAGAGAGUGGAGGGGACGGCGUCAGAAAGGACCUAGGGCUGGGACUCUUUCAAGGAUCACCUGAAGCACAACCACACUAUAUGCACGAGGCUGUUGGUUCUAACAUUUUAGGUUCACCUUUGGUAGAAAUCACAUUCCGCGUUCCCUGCGGUAAAAAAAGACACAGUCCGGGGGGGUUCCCGUUAGAAAUGCCCCCCCCCCAAACCCCCCCCCCCCGGGGUCCCCCCUCUAACGCUGGUUCCUUGGAAUUGUCCUAACCUUCCCUGCCCUUACAGCGUCCCUGGUUGCCGGUUCCAUUCUCGAACUGUUCAACACAUUUUCACUGCACAAAUGUACACAUCUCUUGUAAUGAGACACAUUACUAAAACAUGUUUUUUACAGAAACUGUAGUUUUCCACCAAAAUAAAAGAUCAGCUGGUUUCAGUCAUAAAGGUACAAGGGUUUCUCUUGCAAGUGCCACACAAAAUAUGCAUUUAUAUGCAAAAAUAUGCCAAAUUAUUUUACAAAAACCUUUCAAUAUUAUUGUAUUUGAAUUGUUCUUCUACGUGUUUUUAACAAUACAUCCAUGCAUACUCUGCAAAAUAAAGUUUGGG
This is a long non-coding RNA of Cyprinus carpio carpio, 744 nucleotides long. The record is from Ensembl. NCBI's taxonomy places the organism in Eukaryota, Metazoa, Chordata, Actinopteri, Cypriniformes, Cyprinidae.